UCUGGAGUAUGUAGGAAUCUUUAGGCUUUUAUUCUUGGCGGGGUUGGGAGGGGAUAGGAAGUAGACAGGUGAGUGAGCUCAAUCUGAUUUACAAUUCAGGCCUGUAUUGAUCAUCUAUUGGUAAAUAAACAAUGCCUUGGUCACUGUCACAGUCCCUAUAAGGUAAUGACUGGGAAUAUGGAACAAGAUUAUUGUGGCUAAUUCUGUUGCCAUUCAUCUUAGCUGUUGAUGAAGAUUGUGAGGAGGGAGACCAGAAGAUAAUGGACAACGAUACAGCAGAAGGGCCUGGUAAGCUCCGUUUAGUUGCAUUACCCGGGGAGACCUGAGGCAUGUUUCCAAGGGCUGUGGCUGCCUGUAGCCAUGGGAUCUCCAACUGCAUGCCAGAGUAAUGGAGAGACUUUGACAGCUCAGGUCAGCACAGUGCCUGCAGCUGCCACUCAUCUUUCCUAUAUAUGUAUAUCAGGCCUGGAGUUGAGCUCUGUCUACCUGUGAGGCUAUUGUUCUGUGGUAUUUACAACAAAUGUUUCUUCUGCAGGUUACACUUGAGCUUAUUUCUUGGAAGAGUCUGAGAAGACGGCCUGUCAGGCUCCUAACACUAAGGGCCAUGUAACCAGUGAAGCAGCCAUUAUAUAUGAUUUGGUCUACACUUGUUGGAAAAAUUCCACAAGAGGAUCUGGAAGCUAGCAGAAGUUUUUGGCUUGUACAUUGCCAGGCAGCCAUUGGAAUCAGAGCUGCAGUCAGAUUAAGGCCAGCCUGGCCUACAUUGAGAAACCUCAUUUUGGGAAAGUGAAAUGCUUUGUCAAUUAACAUGCAGUUGGUUCAAUAAAGACUUUUGGAAAGUGUCCUCUCUGUAACUG
Molecule: long non-coding RNA, 857 nt
Filed under: Mus spicilegus (steppe mouse)
Lineage: Eukaryota; Metazoa; Chordata; Mammalia; Rodentia; Muridae
Description: lncRNA (ENSMSIG00000009441.1)
Rfam family: Small nucleolar RNA SNORA44 (bases 326-454)
Source: RNAcentral